CCCAGACUCACCAGCUGGAUGGAGCAGCUCACACCCGCUCUUAAGCCGCUUAGACGCGGCUCUCAGCACCCAGGAGCUGCACAGCUGGCCCUGCGGUUAUGUCCACAGGAGCCGGGCCAGGAGGUCAGAGCUAGAAUUCUCCACUGUCUGUACAGCAGUCUGUUCGUACCACAGAGCCCCCUUGUUAAAGAGUUUCUUUGGACAUUGAUCAGCCCACACCUUUUCCAAACUUUCCACCCUACGUCCAUCCUGAGGCCAUGGGCGCCCAAUCAAAUUCCUCUUCCCAGAACAGCUACUGAGCUAAACAUCUCAUUGGUUUCUGCCUCCACCAAUGACAUGUGACCGCUCCAUGGGGCAGGUGGGCGCAGCAGUGGGCUCCGUGGUGCCCCC
This 390-nucleotide long non-coding RNA is filed under the name Capra hircus (goat). Its description in RNAcentral is "lncRNA (ENSCHIG00000004040.1)". Lineage: Eukaryota; Metazoa; Chordata; Mammalia; Artiodactyla; Bovidae. The record is from RNAcentral.